This 253-nucleotide ribosomal RNA is filed under the name uncultured bacterium. Its description in RNAcentral is "partial 16S ribosomal RNA". It matches the Rfam family "Bacterial small subunit ribosomal RNA", at positions 524 to 776 of the family's 1533-position model. The record is from RNAcentral.
GACAGAGGGUGCUAGCGUUGUUCGGAAUUACUGGGCGUAAAGGGCGCGUAGGCGGUCUGUUAAGUUCGGUGUGAAAGCCCUCGGCUCAACCGAGGAAGUGCGCCGGAUACUGGCAGACUUGAGUACUGGAGAGGAGGGUGGAAUUCCUGGUGUAGCGGUGAAAUGCGUAGAUAUCAGGAGGAACACCGGUGGCGAAGGCGGCCCUCUGGACGAGUACUGACGCUGAGGCGCGAAAGCGUGGGGAUCAAACAGG